This 458-nucleotide ribosomal RNA is filed under the name uncultured bacterium. RNAcentral describes it as "partial 16S ribosomal RNA". It matches the Rfam family "Bacterial small subunit ribosomal RNA", at positions 338 to 795 of the family's 1533-position model. The record is from RNAcentral.
CCUACGGGUGGCAGCAGUGGGGAAUAUUGCACAAUGGGGGAAACCCUGAUGCAGCGACGCCGCGUGAGUGAAGAAGUAAUUCGUUACGUAAAGCUCUAUCAGCAGGGAAGAAAUACUGACCUUACGGUCAGCAGACGGUACCUGAGUAAGAAGCCCCGGCUAACUACGUGCCAGCAGCCGCGGUAAUACGUAGGGGGCAAGCGUUAUCCGGAUUUACUGGGUGUAAAGGGAGCGUAGACGGUGCGCCAAGUCUGGAGUGAAAGGCAGGGGCCCAACCCCUGGACUGCUCUGGAAACUGUCCGGCUGGAGUGCAGGAGAGGUAAGUGGAAUUCCUAGUGUAGCGGUGAAAUGCGUAGAUAUUAGGAGGAACACCAGUGGCGAAGGCGGCUUACUGGACUGUAACUGACGUUGAGGCUCGAAAGCGUGGGGAGCAAACAGGAUUAGAUACCCUUGUAGUC